GGGGACUGGCCACUUCUGUGGCUAGAGGGGCUUACAGUUAUACUAUCUCACUUAUAGCUGUCUUCAAAUCCCAGGCUCCUGGAUAUGGAGAAUACAAUGAUGGCUGUCCAGGUUUGAAGCACAAACAAAAAGAGAUGAUGGUCAAGUUGGCAAAUUAUCCGGAUGAAAGUCUACUAGAAAGCCCUCGCCAAGGGAACUUCUCAGCCAAUGUUCUGCUCCAUGAUGACAGAAGAAGACCUUCACCCAAACCUUUUUUAAGAAAGAGAUUUAUUUGGGAAGGAGGAAUCAGGAGAGUGGCCGCCUCUGCCAGGGUGGAAAAGGACAGCUCACGACUGAGCAGGUAAAGGGGCUUAUACAGGGCUUCCUAGGGGCCUAGUUUCUUCAGGGAGAAGAUUUUCUGCUCUGGGAUAGGUUGGUUUUCCUGCUCAGGGACUGGUCAGUAUGGUUGGUCAGAGGCAGAAUUGCCUCUGGUUUCAGGGCUAGACUGUGUUUCUUUCAGUGGCCCUUUUUAGCCUUUUGGCUCAGAUUCAGGGUCAGGGAGUAUUUCCUUCAAUGGUUCUGAUUCUAGGGAUAAAGUAUGUUUCUUUGGCUCUGGUUUCAGGGUCAGGGUGUGUUGCUUUGGAUCUGGUUUCAAAGCUAAAGUGUUUCUUUCACUGGCUUGAUUUCAGGGCCAGGGUGUGUUUCUUUCACUAGCUCUGGUUUCUAAGCCAGAGGGUGUUUCAUUCACUGGCUCUUCUUUCAGAGCCAGGGUGGGUUUCUUUUAUGGUCUCUGGUUUCUGAAUAAGGGUGAGUUUCUUUGAGUGGCCCUUUUACCCUACAUUUGUCCCAAAGGAAACAUGGCUUAGCCUUCACCUUGAUGGCUUUCAUGAUAUGAGAAAGGGGGUGGGGAGGAUAGAAAUAAGACCUAUUCAGUGUGCCUUCCUCUCUUUCCCAGUCUUGUAACAACUCAUGUUUUCUAUAUGGUGCAAUGCUUAUUUUUGUGUGUCAAUGACUGGAUGUAUAGAGAAGCAAGAUGUCUUAAAUGAUUUCUCUGUUUCUGUGAUCAUACACCGACCAAAAGCACCUGGAGAAGGAGCGCUUUUAUUUGGGUUACAGGUGACAUUCCAUCAUCCAGUGAAACCAAGUCAGGAUCCUGAAAUCAGGAGUUGAACCAGAGACUAUGAAGGACCUCCACUUGCUGUCUUGCUCCACAGCAGAGUGGAACAUCAUUUGGAGGAGGAACAUCACUUGCUCCUAUGGUACUCGCUCCUUUUGAAAAAUUAAUUUAGUUCCAAUUAACAUAUACUUACAUCUUUUUCCUCUCCUCCCUGUAACAUUCCACAUUCACUCUCAUGCUGCCUAAAGCUAUCUCUGGGUCUGUGGUUCUACCACAACUGGGGUCUUUGUUGAUGUCCAUGUUGCCACUAAGGUCAUGGGGAUACCUUGGAUCUAGGCUGCCAACUGUGGUUGGUCAUUUUGGUGUUAGACUGCCAUGCCACUCUUGGGAGCAUGUAGAUAUGAGUGGAGUGUGCUGCUCCCUGGGGUCAUGGUGACAUCCAGUUAUGAGCUGCUGCCAAGGGUCAUGCAUGAUUGGGUCCACAGCACUGCAGCAGCUAGAGUCUGAUUGAUGUCCAUGGCUGCUGUUACCACCAAGGUCAGUGUGGAUGCCUGGGGUCUGGAUAGCCACAUGAGACCCAGUUCACCAAAAGCUCUAAAUAUCUGGCCUCCUUUAGAAAGGGGUGGUUCAUCACAGCAAGUUCAUCCUAUUGACUUCAAGUCUGUUCUUAAAUAACCCUUAACAUCCACCUUCUGUCUCACAGGUAUUUCAGUGGAACUUCCAGUGGAACUUCUCAAAAAUAUCAGGUAUUUUCUGUCCCUAUAAAUUGAGGCAGACAAUACUCAUUUUCUGUGGGUCUAUGACCAGCAGACUCCAGUGUACAUCUAGAUGUAUUGGCACAAUGAUAAUUUCCUUUGCAAAGAGGUUUACUACCUGGGUCCAUCUUUGGACUGACUUGUAGCCCCCAGACUUUAAUGUCGUGGAAUGGAAAGUACUAAAUGAAUGAACCUUUGGAUGUCCUUGAGUUUUAUUACUUUUCAUGUGAAAUUUCAUAUCAAAAUUGAUGACUUCACUUUUAGCCAUUUGCCGUCCUUUGGUGUCUACAAGACUCUUCUAGUAAUUCUCAAGUUCAAGGCACAACUUAAAAUCUCAUCUUCUGGCUUCUGACCUAGUGCACCUCUGAUUUUCUUUUUCACAUUUGCUGUGACGUCAGAGCUCUCCUGUGUCCUCUGCCCAUCUCUUGGUCCUCAAGAGCCUUUUCUUUUUUCUCAGGUAUACAUAGCAAGAUGUGGUAGUAUAGCAUGCCAUUGCUGACACUGUCUAUGCAGAUUGGGCAAUCGGUUCCUCCCAGAAUGUCUGGCUGUGGGUGGUGUCCUCUUCUGGUCAUUUUCUAGAAUUAUUCCAGUGCUCUGCUAUGUAUCCAAAUUUUAAUCCUCUUAACUCUCCUUUCCACUUUUGACUCACUAGUGACAUUCUCUUGUGACAGGACAGGCAGAUUAUUUGAUUUAAAUAGAAACUGCCACACAGUCUUUGUUCUUCUUAUAGGUGUCCACAGGGCUUGUGUGAGCUCUGCAAGGGUCAGAGUCUACAUGAUCACCGGUUAGAAGGUGUUCCAACAACCUUAGUUACGUUUCCUUGUGGUGUUUCUGAACACAUUCCCCUGUGUUUCAGUAGGUGAGCUUGUGACACCAUGCACAAUGUCACCUCAUCACAGCUUCUUCCUGAUGGCCUUCAACAUACUCUUGCUGCGUUAGCUGUAUCCAACACUCUUCCUGGGUUUUCCAUAUCUGACCCCGGCCAGGCUCUUCAUACCUAAUCUCUGUUUCAUCCUGUUCCUGUUUCAACCUCUUCCAAAGCUUGGCUGGCUCUUCAGACUACCUAUAGAUGAGUCUCUCUUCCUGGUAUUUCCUUUUUCAAACUUUUCCUGGAUUUUCAGGGUUCAUGAUUCUAUGCUUCUGGUGAGGUUGCCAUGUAGAAUGGCUACUUGAAUUGCUCUGCUCAGGUGCUGGCUGGCUGCUGUGGUAGAACUUUCUGAUUUCCACAUCAAUGUGUCUGUCAGCCCACUUCCAACGACUUUUCUUGUGUCAUUCUCUCGAUGGCUGAGGGAUCACUAUAUCCAAAAGGAGAUGUCUUAUCCACACUGGACAUGUUGGUUUUCACCCAGGAACCACUGGGUGAAGAACUCAGUCUUCCUCUUUAUCAGUGGGCUUUGCUGUUUUUUUUUUUUUUUCACAGCAUCAGUGAAUACUUUUCAGCUGGUUAAUCUAUCAAUCUAACCUUGCUUUUAAAGUAGCAUUUGACCAGUCCUAGUGUAGAAAACUCCAUGAACUUCAGGAACUGCAUUUUCUGCUGGGGAGAAGGGGGGCUCCAGGAUACCGUGAACCCCGGUAGACCCCCACAUUUUCAAAACACACUGAACCGUAAAGUAUCUCAAAGGUACUUGGCAUUGUAGCCAUGCAAUGGUGGCUAGGCUGCUGUGAGCCUCAUCUAUUGCCCUGGCUAUGGGCUUCCAGGUUUCAUAGCUGGUUUUGAUGCAGUUUCAUAAUUCAUGGUAACAUUUUAUGGUGAGUUGAGGUUGUGUACACCAACCUCCAGGUCAAGGGUCUCAAAGCUGUUUUCCAUCCCUGGAGUUCCUGUUGGUCUGUGCCUGUCCCAGAGGCUGAAGAAAACCCAAGGUGAUUCAGAACUCAAGAAGGCAGAAGUAUAGCUCUGACUCCAGGAAGGGAGAAGAUAUUGGAAAGAACAGUUGAUUCACUUCAUUUUUCUGAAGUGCAAGUCUAGAAAAAAUGUAUCCUUGGACAGACUUAUCCAUGCCUCUUACCCUCUGCGGUACAGAGGAUUGUAUGUAGAGUUACAUCUCUCUCUCUCUCUCUCUCUCUCUCUCUCUCUCUCUCUCUCUCUCUCUCUCCCUUUUGUUGCUAUCUUUUAUUGAAAAUAGAUUCUUUUCUUGUGAUCUUAAAAACUCUGACUGUUGCAACGUAUUUUAUUGCUUCAGCUAUUCCUACAAGGUAAUUUGUCACAAGAUUAAACAAGCUAACAGCUAAGUUCUGCUUUGGUGUGAAACGCUUGCUUGAUUGGAUGGCUGAGUCCUCUGCUAGACAUCUGUUACAAAGUCAACCUUUGCCAACACACAGGCAGCACAUGAGAAAAUAUGGCUCCACCAAAUUAUAUCUUUGUGGGUUUUUCCAUUUUUAAAAAAGAAUUUAUUUUUAUUUAAUGUUCCUUGGUGUUUUGUCUGCAUGUAUAUCUGUGUAAAGUUAGAGAAUUCCCUGGAACUGGAGUUAUAGACAGAUAUAAGCUGCCAUGUGGGUGCAAGGGAUUGAACCUGAGCCCAUUGGAAGAGCAGACAAUGCUCUUAACUGCUAAGCUAUCUCUCCAGUUCAGUCUUUACUUUUAAAAUCCUUGGGCUAAAAAUAGCCAGGGCCUUGUCUGGCAAACUCUCUCUGGUUUGGUCCUAGAUAAUAUCAUUUUCAUAAAAAGCCACUAAUUUACAAAACUCAAAACUUGCGUCACACUGGUGAAUGUUUGAAUGAUCUCAAACCUAAAACAUUUUGAGGCCCCAGUGAGAUCUUGGCAUUCAGACAGUAGCUGUCAGUUUUUUUCUGACUGGGCUUGGUUCCCCAGAAACUCUCAGGCAGGGGGCUUAUGGAAUGGCAAGGCCUAGUCAUUGGGGGACUCAUGGCAGUUACCCAAAGCCUGACCUCACAGAUAAGUAUUCAGUCCUUGAGGGCUUACAUCCUGGGGCCAAAACAAAGAUCAGAGAGUCCCAGUUCUUGUGGAUGCCACUGGUAAGUUCCUGGCCUGGAAGCCAAGGAAUCUGGAAGGUCAAGUGUUUGCAGGAGCCAUCGGCAAGAUUUUAACUGCAGAAAUUGUAAAAAGAGGCAUCUGGAAGCCUCUGGAGGUCUAGGCAAUGAUCUGUCUAUAUUAGCAUAUAGUCCUGAUAGUUGUGGGAAAGCUAAAAGCAGCAUUAUUUCCUAACUCUGAGGGCUCUGAGAACUCUGGGCACUCUAGGUUGGGUCUGGAAGACAAAUUUGGAAGAAGGGUGUGGUCUCUACGUUGUAGUGUCUGAUGUUUCUUUUCUGUUUCACUUUGCUGUUUUGUGUGUUAUUGUUUUUGAAAAAUCUGAAAUGAUGGGUCAAAAGUCUUUCACUCAGGAGACCCUCUGAACCUGAUGAAAUCUUACUUUUAGGACUACCAGAGAAAAACUCAGGAGUCUGGCGAACAGGUCUAUGUAAGAAAACCAGUUACUUUUUGUUCCUUUGAUUGGCCUUAUUCCAUGUGGGCUAUCCAGAUGAAGGCUCCUUUAGCCUUUCUCUUAUUUAGAGGGCACACCAUGGAGAUUUUAGUUAACGAAGGCAUUUGGACAUACUGUCCUACAUUCUGGCCUGGAUAUUCCUGGUACAGGAUUCCCCAUCCUUGAUAAGGAAGUACCAGCCAAAUUCUCCCUCAAAGAGACCCUUUAAUUUCAGAAGAAAUAAAUGAAAUCAAAGGGUAGGACAAUGUCUGGCCCACAGUCUUAUCAGUUCUCCUUGAGUAGAAAAAUGGCUGCCACCCUUUGCACCAGUACAGGCCACAAAGUGAAACAAUCCAAUGGCCCUUCUCACUCUCCCAGUCAUUUCUCACUCCCCCAGGUAGGUUGCAACAGGAUAAAUUUCCCUUGGAUCUCCCCAGUGUGCUUCACUUUGGUCCCUUAAUCCAGCCAUUCUCCUCUUGACAGACCUUCUCACGGGGAGCAACCGAGAGGGAAAAGGAGGGAAUGAGAGAAAGUCACCAGUCACUUACGAUACAUGGUCCUUUCACCACUAUAUAGUUAUCUAUAUAAUUGGAAAUCUCAAAAACCUCCCUUUCCCAGGAAAGCCCCCAAAGCUUGAUUUCUCCACAAGAAAUGAUGGUUUACAAACACAAGCUAACUUGGUCAUACUGUCAGCAGCUACUUCAAACCCUCUUCACAACCUAGGAGAAGAAAGAAUUCAUCAGCAAGCCCAGAAACAGGUCAUUGGAAAUGAUGGGCAAUCAGCAACUGAGCCUGUGAUUAUCAAAGAAGUUUUCCCUGCCAAACAGCUGGAUUGGGACCUAAGUUCUGGUGAGGUAGGAAGUCUCUCAACCACUUUUGCCAGACUCUGGUAGGGGGGUCUCCGGGCAAUACCAGACAGCCCACAAAUUUAUCUGAGGUAAGCCAGAAAACUCUGGGUUCAGAUGACUCCCAUUUGCCUCCUCGAGGCCUUUCAGACCUACACUCCAACUGAGCUGGAGACCAUAGGAGACCAGAGACUAUUUAUUCACUUGGCUUGUGUUUCCCAGUCAGCACAAGAUAGAAAUUAGGAAGUAAAUUCAGAAAAUAGAAGGGUUGAAGGAAAAGUAUUGUCAGAGUUAGUUGAGAAUGUUUCCCAGGUAAAUCAUAAGAAAAAUACCCGAGAGGAUGGACGGACUAGGAAACCAGCUAAGGUUAUGGUGGCCACCUACCAACCAGAAAGAUCCUGGCUUUGAGGAUCUGCAAGGGAAGGACAAAGAGUGAGUGAAGACGACAUAAAAAAUGAACGCUUUUGGGGAAAAACCAAUAUGCACAAGGCAAGGAGACCAGCCAUUGGAAAGACAAAAGCCCAAGAUGUACUUGAUGUGCACUCUGAUGGAAAAUGGACCUCUUGAAAAAUGAAUGCCUGAACAGACAACACAGGUCUGCAUCUGUGUACCAGCUAUGGACAGACUGAUGAGAUCUGGUUUCUGCUGCCCCAGAUCCCAGGAUUACUUUGAUAGUGUGUGUGAGUGCUCCCAUUAACUAUCUGGAUGUCAUGGGAGCCACCUGCUGGGUUCUAAAAUGGACAGCAAGCCAAUAAGUGAGAAAUGAUAAUAUAAGGAGCUACCAGUUAACAGAUCUGCUCCUGGACCACCUAAAAUCUGUAGAUAUGCAAAGGGGGACAGCCUCCCACUCAUUCCUGGGAACACCCUCUCCUGGAAGUGAUCUGCACCACAAACUAUGGACAGAAACACAUUUUGAAAAGAUGAGGUCUUAAUAGAUUUAAAACAUCCAAAAUUAUUAAAUAAUAUUAUGCUAACCAUGCCACUGUGAGAAGAGUAUAUCCUAUUAAACAACCCUCUUCUGGAUUAAGAUUUAGACUUAUUAAAAAUGUUCUUAUUUCUGUGCUGAAACAAACCCACCAGGACUAGCAUUCCUCCAAACACCUGUCAAAGUAGAACUGAACAGCAAUGCUACUCCUCUCUAGGUAAGCAAUAUCCUAAAACUUAGGAAGCAAAACAUGGAAUCAAAGCUCAUAUUAACAGGCUUCGUGAAACUGGCACAUUGGUCCCUUGCCACUUCCCUUGGAAUCCUCCAUUGCUGCUUGUGUGAAAACCAGGAACAGAGAAUUAUAGGCCAGUACAAGACCUGCAGGAGAUAAACAAGAGAGGACAGGAUAUUCAUCCAACAGAUCCUAAUGCACACAGACUCUUGAGUUCACUCCCUUUCUACCUCUUCUACCCUGAUAUGCAGGUCUACAGUGCUAGAUAUGAAGGAUGACUUCUUCGGUAUUUCUGUUCAUUAAAUCAAGUCAACUGAUAUUUGCCUUUUAAUAAAUAGAUAUGGAAAAUAGAACAAUGACCAAUUAAAAUGGACUAGAUUGCCUCCAGGUUUUAAAAAUUUUCCAACACUGUUUGAUGAAGCCCUCCACAGAUAUGUGCAAGCAUUCAGAUCCAAGACUGAAAAUGUCAUGUUCUUGCAAUACAUGGAUGACUUCCUUCUGGCAGCAGAAUCUGAGGAUCAAUAUCUCCACACCACAAAUUGACUAUUAGAAACACUGCAACAACAGGGACAUUGGGUCUCUACAAUAAGGGCUCAGCUCUGCACCCCUAAGACUAAGUACCUGGGGAUGAACAGCAGGAAGGGAAGAGAUUGCUUUCCACUCACAGAAUCCAGUCAAUUACUCAGAUCCCAAAUCCUCAGACACAAAGAUAAUUCUAGAUGUUCCUUUGGAUGUAGAUUAUUGCUGGGUCUGCAUACUCAGGUGUGCUGAGUUGGCCAAGCCAUUAUACCUUCUACUUGGGGCACCGAGGAAGCCUUGAGCUGGUCUCCAGCAGUGGAGGAGGACUUUGGGAGUUAAAGUAGCCUCUGGUUUGGGCUUCAACAUCAGCCCUACCUGAGGUAGCCAUGUGAUUCUACCUAUUUGUGGAUGAGAGUAAAGGCAUUGCCGGGGAUGCUAACACAAAACUGAGACCCUGGUCAUGUCCUGUUGCCUACCUCUCUAAGAAACUGGAGCCAGUAGCAGCAGGAUAACCAGUAUGUCUUGGAGUUAUAGCCACCAUGGUUCUCCUAACAAAGGAAGUGAAAAAGCUGACUCUGGGAUAAGAUCUCUUGAUGAUGGCCCCACAUGAAGUGAACCUCUCUUGAGAAGGACUCCAGACAAAUAGAUGACUAACUCUCCUGUUGUCAGACCUGGUUUCUAGAUUAGACAAGAAUCACAUUUCAUCAAACAGCUGCCAGAAUCAAUGAUGCUGCCAUCCAAUUUGAUGGCUUCCAGGUCAACACCACAUUUUAGGAACUGAGGCCAGAUGUGAUAGAUGUCCCAUGUAAUCAAUCAGUUUUGGUCAUUUCCCAUGGUUUCUGGUGGUACCAGUUUCAUCUAGGGAAGAAGAAGGUAUCUUGGGGCAGGUGAAGUGACCAUAGAUCACAUCUUUGGACAGAUAUCCUUCCCCCAGGGACUUCAUCUCAGACAGGAGAAUUUGUUGUACUCACUGAGGCUCUCUAAUGGGAAGAGGAAGACUAUAAAAAUAAUGCUGAUAGUAGAUAGGCCUUUCCCACUGCACAUGAGCAUGGACUAUCCUCAUGGAGAGAGGCCUCUUAAGACCAGAGGGAAAUGUUAUAAAAAAAAAAUAAAACAGUGAUCUCAGUCCUGUUAGCUACAAUUUCAGCCACAAAAAUAGUUGCUACCAUACACCAUGAAGUAGAUUCAUAGAGAUAACAGAAAUAGGCUGAUGAGGUGGCCAGAGAGACUGCCUCAAAAGCAGUAAAAAAAAAAAAAAAGCCUUCCACCCCAGACCCCCUUCUGCUGAUAAGCCAUAUCACUCA
Molecule: non-coding RNA, 9095 nt
Organism: Peromyscus maniculatus bairdii (prairie deer mouse)
Lineage: Eukaryota; Metazoa; Chordata; Mammalia; Rodentia; Cricetidae
Source: RefSeq, a predicted model, not a curated record